This 1243-nucleotide ribosomal RNA is filed under the name Microbacterium testaceum. RNAcentral's name for it is "bacterial SSU rRNA". It matches the Rfam family "Bacterial small subunit ribosomal RNA", at positions 70 to 1326 of the family's 1533-position model. Lineage: Bacteria; Bacillati; Actinomycetota; Actinomycetes; Micrococcales; Microbacteriaceae. The record is from RNAcentral.
GAAGCCAAGCUUGCUUGGUGGAUCAGUGGCGAACGGGUGAGUAACACGUGAGCAACCUGCCCUGGACUCUGGGAUAAGCGCUGGAAACGGCGUCUAAUACUGGAUAUGAGACGUGAUCGCAUGGUCGUGUUUGGAAAGAUUUUUCGGUCUGGGAUGGGCUCGCGGCCUAUCAGCUUGUUGGUGAGGUAAUGGCUCACCAAGGCGUCGACGGGUAGCCGGCCUGAGAGGGUGACCGGCCACACUGGGACUGAGACACGGCCCAGACUCCUACGGGAGGCAGCAGUGGGGAAUAUUGCACAAUGGGCGAAAGCCUGAUGCAGCAACGCCGCGUGAGGGAUGACGGCCUUCGGGUUGUAAACCUCUUUUAGCAGGGAAGAAGCGAAAGUGACGGUACCUGCAGAAAAAGCGCCGGCUAACUACGUGCCAGCAGCCGCGGUAAUACGUAGGGCGCAAGCGUUAUCCGGAAUUAUUGGGCGUAAAGAGCUCGUAGGCGGUUUGUCGCGUCUGCUGUGAAAUCCCGAGGCUCAACCUCGGGCCUGCAGUGGGUACGGGCAGACUAGAGUGCGGUAGGGGAGAUUGGAAUUCCUGGUGUAGCGGUGGAAUGCGCAGAUAUCAGGAGGAACACCGAUGGCGAAGGCAGAUCUCUGGGCCGUAACUGACGCUGAGGAGCGAAAGGGUGGGGAGCAAACAGGCUUAGAUACCCUGGUAGUCCACCCCGUAAACGUUGGGAACUAGUUGUGGGGACCAUUCCACGGUUUCCGUGACGCAGCUAACGCAUUAAGUUCCCCGCCUGGGGAGUACGGCCGCAAGGCUAAAACUCAAAGGAAUUGACGGGGACCCGCACAAGCGGCGGAGCAUGCGGAUUAAUUCGAUGCAACGCGAAGAACCUUACCAAGGCUUGACAUAUACGAGAACGGGCCAGAAAUGGUCAACUCUUUGGACACUCGUAAACAGGUGGUGCAUGGUUGUCGUCAGCUCGUGUCGUGAGAUGUUGGGUUAAGUCCCGCAACGAGCGCAACCCUCGUUCUAUGUUGCCAGCACGUAAUGGUGGGAACUCAUGGGAUACUGCCGGGGUCAACUCGGAGGAAGGUGGGGAUGACGUCAAAUCAUCAUGCCCCUUAUGUCUUGGGCUUCACGCAUGCUACAAUGGCCGGUACAAAGGGCUGCAAUACCGUGAGGUGGAGCGAAUCCCAAAAAGCCGGUCCCAGUUCGGAUUGAGGUCUGCAACUCGACCUCAUGAAGU